GACGAACGCUGGCGGCGUGCUUAACACAUGCAAGUCGAACGGAAAGGCCCUGCUUGCAGGGUACUCGAGUGGCGAACGGGUGAGUCACACGUGGGUGAUCUGCACUGCACUUCGGGAUAAGCCUGGGAAACUGGGUCUAAUACCGGAUAGGAGCCAUUUCUAGUGUGAUGGUUGGAAAGUUUUUUCGGUGUAGGAUGAGCUCGCGGCCUAUCAGCUUGUUGGUGGGGUAAUGGCGUACCAAGGCGGCGACGGGUAGCAGGACUGAGAGUGUGGGCAGCCACAGUGACACUGAGAUUCGGACCAGGCGCAAACUAGUGGCAGCAGUGGGAGAGGUUGAUCAAGCGGCACGGGCCAGAUGCAGCGGCGCCGCGGGGGGGAGAACGAUGUUCGUGUUAUAAUCGUAUAUCGCUUUGAACGAAGCUUAUUGUGACGGUACCUAGAGAAGAAGCACCGGCUAACUUCGUG
This 465-nucleotide ribosomal RNA is filed under the name uncultured bacterium. RNAcentral describes it as "partial 16S ribosomal RNA". It matches the Rfam family "Bacterial small subunit ribosomal RNA", at positions 28 to 507 of the family's 1533-position model. The record is from RNAcentral.